CACUUUCUGCUGGGUGUUGGGCAAUGUGCACAUCCCUCUGAAAUGUCCACGUGGCUCCUCGGAUGUCCGCUGGCUGUCACAGGUUCACAGGCAUCUGUUCUGUAGGAGACCUCAGUAUCUGACUUUCUUUCUCUUCCAGAAUCAGGGCAUAAGGAAGCAAUUUCUACCCAUACAGACUUUAAGACAUAAAAUUGCAGCACAUCACAAACUCUUCAUCCUUGUAUGAAGUGCCCUGCCUCCACACAAACAAGGAUACGAUCUUGGGAUCUGUCACCAAUCAGGCCUCUCUGAAAAGAUGUCAAAAUUUUUAAAACAGAGGAACCAAAAGGAGUGAAGGAAGGAUUGGGGAGUCAUUAGAUUUGGGUUCAAACCGAAGUUCUGCUGAGGAAAAUGUUUCACUGACUGACCUCUUUUUGCGUUCAAAUGAAGAAAAGUCAACAAUAAAAUUUCUUGGGAAUGUAAGCAGGACAUAACUUUUGAGCCUGAGGUAUAAAUAAUGAUGAAUUCUGUGUCUUUCUUGUUAUACUAUACCCGACGAAUUAGAGUUUUUGAAAUAAAAUAAAAGAAUAUUAAUGCAA
Marmota monax (woodchuck) is the source of this 578-nucleotide long non-coding RNA. RefSeq lists it as uncharacterized. The record is from RefSeq and is a predicted model, not a curated record. NCBI's taxonomy places the organism in Eukaryota, Metazoa, Chordata, Mammalia, Rodentia, Sciuridae. The transcript is spliced from 3 exons.